CAGCAGCCGCGGUAAUACGUAGGGGGCGAGCUUUGUCCGGAGUUAUUGGGCGUAAAGCGCGCGCAGGCGGUCCCUUAAGUCUGAUGUGAAAGCCCACGGCUCAACCGUGGAGGGUCAUUGGAAACUGGGGGACUUGAGUGCAGAAGAGGAGAGCGGAAUUCCACGUGUAGCGGUGAAAUGCGUAGAGAUGUGGAGGAACACCAGUGGCGAAGGCGGCUCUCUGGUCUGUAACUGACGCUGAGGCGCGAAAGCGUGGGGAGCAAACAGGAUUAGAUACCCUGGUAGUCCACGCCGUAAACGAUGAGUGCUAAGUGUUAGAGGGGUUAAUCCCUCCGUGCCGAAGCUAACGCAUUAAGUGCCCCGCCUGGGGAGUACGGCCGCAAGGUUGAAACUUAAAGGAAUUGGCGGG
This 409-nucleotide ribosomal RNA is filed under the name uncultured microorganism. RNAcentral's name for it is "bacterial SSU rRNA". It matches the Rfam family "Bacterial small subunit ribosomal RNA", at positions 509 to 917 of the family's 1533-position model. The record is from RNAcentral.